Molecule: long non-coding RNA, 448 nt
Organism: Oncorhynchus tshawytscha (Chinook salmon)
Lineage: Eukaryota; Metazoa; Chordata; Actinopteri; Salmoniformes; Salmonidae
Source: Ensembl
GCCACACACACACACACACACACACACACACAGGGCCAGACACACACACACAGGGCCAGGCACACACACACAGGGCCAGACACACACACACACACAGGGCCAGACACACACACACACACAGGGCCAGACACACACACACACCAGACACCAGACACACACACACACAGGGCCAGACACACAGACACACACACAGGGCCAGACACACACACACACACAGGGCCAGACACACAGACACACACACAGGGCCAGACACACACACACACACACAGGGCCAGACACACACACACACACAGGGCCAGACACACACACACACAGGGCCAGACACACACACACAGGGCCAGACACACACACACACAUGGCCAGACACACACACACACACACAGGGCAACACACAAGCUCUGUCCUCUACAGUGUGGUGUAGUGAAAGCCCAAUCCUCUGACCCACUGC